CAGUCAUCUACUGGGAGGAAGAUAAGCAAGUAUGAGAAAAUACUGCUGGAAAUUAAAAAAAAAGGAAUGUUGUUUAGGUGACAAAAUUGAAAGACAGGAUGUGUACUGUGACACCUAUGUCAAGCCAAUGGCAGCAGGUAGAACAGAGAAGAAACACCAACUGUGGGAACUCUGAGAAAAUUACUGACUUUUGACAGACGUAAAGAUGUCCUCAUCCGUCUAUGUAUAUCUAUAACUUUGAAAUCCUAAAUAGACAUUGUAGUUAUUAAGUGAUCUUCUAAAGGUUUAUGAAGUAUUAGUAAAGCAGAAUCAUUACAGGAAGUCAUACACUCAGAAGGAAAAUAAAAUGAGCUGAGUUAAAAGAAUGGUGAUUAAAAUUUAUAUAUCCAUUUUAUAAUUCUUCAAUUAUUUUCAUGAGACUACUCUAACAUCUGUGUAUAAAAAAUUUCAUUACAAACACAAGACACAUAGGGGCCUCUAUAGACUCACAAAUAAAAUGAAAAUUAUGCACAACUGAGAAAUCAGAAGCAUGUUAAUGAUUAUUCGUUUUGUUCAUUGUGAGAUGGAUAAUUGGCAAACUGAAUAUUCUCUUCCAUAAUUUUUCAUUAAAGAAACUUUUUUUUUCAAACUAGCAGCUUGUUUUAAAGAGAGUAGGGCCAAUGAUAUGCUCUGAAAAUGUGUUCAUAGAUGGUAUCUAGCUCUAAUUACUGAUAGCAGCCACUCAGGACAAAUAAACAAUUAUCUCUCAGUACGUAGGUAAAACAGAGUAAAAAUCAAACUUCGACCUUGUUUCUAAUGAACAUUAUCAUAUUAUUGCCCAUUGCCUUUGCAUGGCCUUUUUGUCUGCGGGGGUGUGGGAGGGGUGGGGAAUGUCCACAUUGUGAACAUUGACUCUCCAAUGUGGAAAUCAGAAAUAAAUUCUCAGCCUCCCUUGCAGAUAGGAAGAAGGUAUAUGACCUGAGUGCUGCAAUCAGACAGACCUGAUUCCCAGUGGGUGCAAGGCUGAGUUUC
RNAcentral lists this long non-coding RNA (1011 nucleotides) under Saimiri boliviensis boliviensis (Bolivian squirrel monkey). RNAcentral describes it as "lncRNA (ENSSBOG00000036764.1)". The record is from RNAcentral. Lineage: Eukaryota; Metazoa; Chordata; Mammalia; Primates; Cebidae.